AAUGAACGCUGGCGGCGCGCCUAAUACAUGCAAGUCGAGCGAGAAGACGUAGCAAUACGUUUGUAAAGCGGCGAACGGGUGAGGAAUACAUGGGUAACCUACCCUAGAGUGGGGAAUAACUAGCCGAAAGGUUAGCUAAUACCGCGUACGCUCCUUGGACUUCGGUUCAGGGAGGAAAGCGAUGCCGAGGGUAUCGCGCUCUUGGAUGGGCUCAUGUCCUAUCAGCUUGUUGGGAGGUAACGGCUCACCAAGGCUUCGACGGGUAGCUGGUCUGAGAGGACGAUCAGCCACACUGGCACUGCGACACGGGCCAGACUCUACGGGAGCAGCAGUAAGGAAUAUUGCGCAAUGGGCGAAAGCCUGACGCAGCGACGCCGC
This 378-nucleotide ribosomal RNA is filed under the name uncultured bacterium. RNAcentral's name for it is "bacterial SSU rRNA". It matches the Rfam family "Bacterial small subunit ribosomal RNA", at positions 29 to 400 of the family's 1533-position model. The record is from RNAcentral.